This 107-nucleotide small nuclear RNA is filed under the name Phascolarctos cinereus (koala). The record is from RNAcentral. Lineage: Eukaryota; Metazoa; Chordata; Mammalia; Diprotodontia; Phascolarctidae.
AUGCUUACUUUGGCAGCACAUACAUUAAAAUUGUAAUGAUACAGAGGAGAUUAGUAUGGCCCCUGAGCAAGAAUGACAUGCAGAUUUGGGAAGCAUUCCAGUAAAAA